RNAcentral lists this long non-coding RNA (1037 nucleotides) under Crocodylus porosus (Australian saltwater crocodile). RNAcentral's name for it is "lncRNA (ENSCPRG00005015634.1)". The record is from RNAcentral. Lineage: Eukaryota; Metazoa; Chordata; Crocodylia; Crocodylidae.
UAAAGGGCAGAUGGGAGCUGCCUUGAUUCAAAUGGAACAAAACCUGCUUGUCCACCCAGGACUGCCGCAGAUACGCUGGGGUCUGCGCUCUGUGUGCACAAUAGUUGCAUAUUCAGGGAUCGUCCUCCCUCCUGUCUACUGGAUGGAGACAUUCGAGGAUUGGCGGACCCAGCCUUUUGUCUCUGCUGCAAAGCCUUUGCGAGGAAGGGCUCGGGGGGCUUCAGAUGCGCGUGCCACCGUUGUGGCGAUCUGUUCCUUUGUCAUACGCAGGAAGUGUCAUCUUUCAAGCCACUGAAAGCAGCUGCCUCGGUGUGGAAAACCGUUGCUUUGACCUCUGAACAGGUAUUCCCGGUGUCCCUCCACCCUCCCUUGAUCCGCGGGGCUCCAGAGAAACGUGUUUACUGGGUAGUCUCUGCUUGGAGGUUGUGCCAGUAGCUUCUCGUGAGCGCUCCUAUAAAGCCCAAGCAACGCCCUCCUGGAGGCUGCUGCCAACACCAGUGUCCUGCUGGCACUGCCUCCUCUCACCACCUUUCCAAACCAACAAGCUCCCGACAUGUGUGCGCAGUGCAGCACAGGUCACGCGAGCCGUGUCCCUCCCUCCCUCCCUCCCUUUGAUUCCCUCCUUUUCAGGCUGGGGUUGGAUUGCAAAGGCUCGCUGCGGGGCUUCGGUUACUCGGUGUCUGCUGCUCCCUUGCACGUUGCUCCUCUCCAGUGCACGUCCUAGCCUGGCGUCACCCGCCUUUGAGGGUCCGGUUGCUCUGCGGACGUGUUGUCUUCAAACGCCUCUGUCGGCUGAAGGUGUCGAGGGCAGAGCUCUGUCCGCAGCAGGCGUUUUCACCCAUUUCGCUGCAUCCAUUUUGUGCUGCACGGCUCAAAUUCCUGCUCACAAAACUGCCUGCAACGUCCCCCUCGGACGACUAGAAAACCUGAGCACAGCUUGUAGCACCGAGCAUCUCUGAUCUGCGAAGACUCGACGAAAAGCAAGCCUAUUGAAUUUUCCUUUUUGUCCGCGGCUUAAAUAAAUAUGUCACAAAGCU